AAACUUGUCCAAGUCAAUGUUCUCUCUGAAUCCUGCCCUGUAGGGAGAGGGAGAAAUGAGCAGAACUUGCAGGGAGAUUGAACGUAAGAUCUUGCGCCUCCUCCAUGGCCACGAUACCCGGUCCCAACUCCGCCAAAUCCACGCCCAUUUCCUUCGCCAUGGCCUUCACCAACUCAACCAAAUCCUUGCUCAUUUCGUUUCUGUUUGUGGAUCUCAAAACAAAAUGGCCUAUGCACAUCGCCUCUUCUGCCAAUCACAACACCCCAAUAUAUUACUCUUUAAUUCCAUGAUCAAAGGGUACUCUCUUUGUGGACCCUUUGAAGAGUCUUUCAGUUUGUUUUCCUCUAUGAAAAAUCGAGGCAUUUGGCCUGAUGAGUAUACUUUUGCGCCUUUGCUCAAGGCUUGUUCGAAUCUUUGCGACCUUAAACUUGGCCGGUGUGUUCAUAAGGACGUUAUAAUUGUUGGAUUUCACUGUUUUAGCUCGAUACGAAUUGGGGUUGUUGAGUUGUAUACAACUUGUGGGAUAAUGGAAGAUGCUGAGAAAGUGUUUGAUGAAAUGUGUGACAUGGAUGUCAUUGUUUGGAAUUUAAUGAUUCACGGCUACUGUAAGAGAGGAGAUUUUGAUAUGGGUCUGCAUUUGUUUAGGCAGAUGAGUGAACGGAGUAUUGUUUCUUGGAAUAUCAUGAUUUCUUGCUUGGCACAAAGUGGGCGGGAUAGUGAAGCUUUGGGACUUUUUCAUGAAAUGAAGGACCAGGGUUUCAACCCAGACGACGCAACUUUGGUAAUAGUUUUGCCUAUCUGUGCUCGUUUGGGAGCUGUUGAAGUGGGGCAAUGGAUUCAGUCUUAUGCCGAGUCAAGUGUUUUUUUUCGAGAUUCUGUGUCUGUGGGCAAUGCAUUAGUGGAUUUUCACAGUAAAUGUGGUGUUCUGGAGACUGCUAAGAAAGUAUUUAAUGAGAUGCCUCAAAAGAGUGUGAUUUCUUGGAAUGCGAUGAUCUCAGCUAUGGCUUUUAAUGGGAAAGGUGAACUUGGGAUAGAAUUAUUUGAGGAGAUGACAAAGGCAGGCAUCUGCCCUAAUGAUGCGACCUUUGUAGCGGUUUUAUCAUCAUGUGCUCAUGCAGGGUUAGUAGAAAAGGGGAGGACUUUGUUUGCUUCAAUGACUUUAAAUCACCAAAUUGUUCCGAAACUUGAGCACUAUGGAUGCCUGGUUGAUCUCCUUGGGCGAAGUGGAUUUGUAAGGGAGGCUUAUGAUUUGAUUAGAAGCAUGCCUGAGAAGCCAAAUGCUUCUUUAUGGGGUUCUUUACUCGGUGCUUGCCGUACUCAUGGUGACAUGGAGCUAGCGCAACUUGCAGUUGAAGAGCUUGUAAAUCUUGAACCAUGGAAUUCUGGUAAUUAUGUGUUGUUAUCAAAUAUAUAUGCAGAAGAAGAGAGAUGGGACAAAGUUGAGGAGGUAAGAACAAUGAUGAAGGAGAGGAGCAUCGAGAAAACACCGGGGCAGAGUUCAGUUGGAUAGUUUGCGAUGAUGAAUUGAUUUAAUACCUUACUGCUGGUUGGUUUUUGGGAUCUACUACGUUCUGUUCAUAGUGAAAAUCUCAAUUUCAAGAGCAAAGAUCCUGAUCUUACUUCUGCCAAAGUGAAAUAUAAUUCACAGCAGAGCAGGGCUCAGCAUUCUGAUUCGUCUCGUAAUUUUUAUGAUGUUGACCAUGUCAAUGCAAGUCAGAUGACAAGAAUGUAUUAAAUUAGGAGCCAAAGCCAGAAAUUAUAUUUCAGAUAUAAGUUAUCCUUCGAGUUGUCUCUCUUGCAGUGAAAUUCGUUUGAGAACAUGGAAUCAUUUGGAAAAUGAAAUACUUCGAACAUGGAAAAUAAAUGCUUUUGCCGUGAAUAUCCUGAUGAUAACAAAAUCCCAACAACAGUAGAGAAUGUCAAGAACAAGGGAAAUGAAUGUGGUGAAGGAGGUUACUAGAAAUUUAUAUUCGGGGCCAUGACAUGGUGACCUGAGUAGCAGCACGAUUUGGCUAUAGAAAUUAACUAGGCUUUUGUCCGCGCAACGGUUUAAUAAUUUUUGAUAUAUUAUUUAAUUGAAUAAAAAUAUAGAUGUGCAGCUUUGUCAAUAUAUUUAUACUUAGAAUAGCUUGUGAAAAAAUUGUAACGGUG
This 2151-nucleotide unclassified non-coding RNA is filed under the name Hevea brasiliensis (rubber tree). Lineage: Eukaryota; Viridiplantae; Streptophyta; Magnoliopsida; Malpighiales; Euphorbiaceae. The record is from RNAcentral.